This 497-nucleotide ribosomal RNA is filed under the name uncultured bacterium. Its description in RNAcentral is "partial 16S ribosomal RNA". It matches the Rfam family "Bacterial small subunit ribosomal RNA", at positions 28 to 507 of the family's 1533-position model. The record is from RNAcentral.
GAUGAACGCUGGCGGCGUGCCUAAUACAUGCAAGUCGAACGGACAGGCGCUGCUCUUGCGGGGGUGACGUUAGCGGCGGACGGGUGAGUAACACGUGGAUAACCUCCCUAUCAGUCUGGGAUAACCUCGUGAAAGGGGCGCUAAUACGGGAUGAUAUCUUGAGCCGCCUGGGUCAUUGGUGAAAGGCGGUUUUGCUGUCAGUUCUAGCGGGAUGCGCGCCGCAUUGGCUAGUUGGGAAGGUCACGGGCUAGCAAGGCAACGAGGCGUAGCCGAGCUGAGAGGGGGGUCGGCCACACUGGAACUGGGACACGGUCCAGACGACUACGGGAGGGAGCAGAAGGGAAGGUGCCGCAACAGGCGGAAGCCUGACGGAGUAACGCGGCGUGAGUUGUGAAGGGGUUGGGUUCGGAAUACUCUGCUAUGAGGGAAGAACAGAUGUGUAAGUAACUAUGGAGGGCUUGACGGUACCUGAUCAGAAAGCCCCGGCUAACUACGUG